RNAcentral lists this long non-coding RNA (689 nucleotides) under Homo sapiens (human). Its description in RNAcentral is "non-protein coding lnc-HIST3H2A-2:3". Lineage: Eukaryota; Metazoa; Chordata; Mammalia; Primates; Hominidae. The record is from RNAcentral.
GCGCUUCACUCUACUGCCUGCGGACCGGCCCAAGUCGAUCUGAGCUGCGCGUACCCCCGCGGUAGCUCGCCCGCGUGGGCUGGGGACGGGGCGGGAAAUGGCCUGCGUGGGCCUCCUCCGCUGCUCUCAUCCUGCACGGACCCGCCCUGCAUGGGCACGCCCUGCGUGCACGGGCCUGCCCGCGUGGACGUGCCCUGCGUGCACCCUUCCUUCAGGGACCCGCCCUUGAACGGCCCUCCGGACGUGGACACUCGUAUACGCCCACCCUGCGUGGGAUCUCCCUGCGUGGACCCAUCCCGCUGAGCCUCUUCUCGCGCAGCCUCCCUCUGGCCCCCUGGGAAGCUACCCUGGUUGUCCGCUGUCUCCUGGCUGGGGGGAGCUCUCAUUGAUUCUGUGAUGAUGCAUGACAGAAGAGCAUUUGUUAGCUUUGCUUUGCUUUUCUUUCUUUUUUGAGACAGCCUCGCUCUGUUGCCAGGCAGGCUUGAGUGCAGUGGCGCGAUCUCGGCUCACUGCAACCUCCGCGUCCCGGGUUCAAGCGAUUCUCCUGCCUCAGCCCCCCGAGUAGCCGGUAUUGCAGGCGCCUGCCACGACGCCCGGCUAAUUUUUGUAUUUUUAGUACAGACGGGGUUUCACCAUGUUGGCCAGGCUGGCCUCGAACUCCUGACCUCGUAAUCCACCCGCCUCUGCCU